GCUCGCGUGCGUGCUCCAAGCCUCCAACAAAGUUCACCAAAAAGAAUGAGGUUACGUUCAGUUCAAUCAGCAACGUACAGCUUUUCUCUGGACAAUUCUAGCGCGAGAGUUGUUCGUCAAACGUGUGGCUCAUUGUUUUCUGUUGUUCAUCGAGGCCACAGUGACAGCUUUCAGCCUAUCACGAGUCAGAAGCGUACGAUCCCGGAUACAGAACAAAGCAUAACCUAUUGGUGAUGGCUGAGCCACGCGACAGGGUGUUGUGCCGUGUACGCGAUAUGACGACCUGCAUAUGCACUUCAGCACUGGUCUUCUAGCCAUGCUGCUUGCUCGUGUGCGGCGCCUGCUUCUCUACUCCUCUGCUCAUCUUUCUCGUUGCUGCAUGUGAUCCGUGCGUUCAUAAUGGGGGAGGGCUCUGUGCAAUGGGAUAGAAUGCCUUGUCCACAUUCGGCAAGCUUCUACGAAAUGUGCACAGAAGAUGGGGCCCCACCGACGCUUGCUUUGUACCCCAUUGACAGUGUAUAUUCCGACCUCGAGGUCAUCCAACGGAAACACACGGAAGCCCUCUAAAGGGAAAAGGAGUACCGUGUGUCUGACCGUCUGUCCAUCAUUCCGGGAAGGGUUUUGCGCAAUCUGCUCCAAGACCGAGCAAGCUGUUGAAGUAUGGAAAGAAUGUAACCUCGGAGCAUCAAGCAAAGAUAAUGAAGCUGGACUCUGAUAAGAAAUUUCAGAACACCAACGACAUUGCUUGCCAUUCGUGAACAUGAUUUUUACUGUUUAGAAUAAAGUGGGUUUCUCC
Long non-coding RNA from Ornithodoros turicata, 796 nucleotides. RefSeq lists it as uncharacterized. The transcript has 5 exons. The record is from RefSeq and is a predicted model, not a curated record. Lineage: Eukaryota; Metazoa; Arthropoda; Arachnida; Ixodida; Argasidae.